Molecule: ribosomal RNA, 383 nt
Filed under: uncultured bacterium
Lineage: Bacteria
Description: bacterial SSU rRNA
Rfam family: Bacterial small subunit ribosomal RNA
Source: RNAcentral
AACGAACGCUGGCGGCGCGCCUAAUACAUGCAAGUCGAGCGAGAAGACGUAGCAAUACGUUUGUAAAGCGGCGAACGGGUGAGGAAUACAUGGGUAACCUACCCUCGAGUGGGGAAUAACUAGCCGAAAGGUUAGCUAAUACCGCGUACGCUCCUUGGACUCCGGUUCAGGGAGGAAAGACGAUACCGUGGGUAUCGCGCUCUUGGAUGGGCUCAUGUCCUAUCAGCUUGUUGGUGAGGUAACGGGCUCACCAAGGCUUCGACGGGUAGCUGGUCUGAGAGGACAAUCAGCCACACUGGCACUGCGACACGGGCCAGACUCCUACGGGAGGCAGCAGUAAGGAAUAUUGCGCAAUGGGCGAAAGCCUGACGCAGCGACGCCGC